GGGUGAGGCCCAGAACAGGCCAAAGACCACCCGAACCAGAUGAUUUGGCCAUUAACGGAGGUUGGAGGAAGAGGGGGGACCUCUAAAGUACCUCCCCCCCCACAGCCUCAGAGAACACCCCCUGGAGGAGAUGACAACUGCAGAAUCCUGGAAGUCAUCAAAGGGACAUUUUAAUAUACUGAGACAAAAGAGAUUUUCAAAUAGCGUUUGCAAGAAGCACAGCUGUUCUGUCAUUGUUCUAGCUUCCAUUUCUCUACUUCCAAGGCUCCUGGCUCUGCCAUUUGCCAUGGAGAACAGAAGAAAACUAAUCAAACUACAAAAGAGGACCCUGAAGACCCUAUUUUCCCAGGCCUGAGGACCCUAUUUUCCCAGGCCUUCAACUGAG
Molecule: long non-coding RNA, 385 nt
Organism: Hemicordylus capensis (graceful crag lizard)
Lineage: Eukaryota; Metazoa; Chordata; Lepidosauria; Squamata; Cordylidae
Exons: 3
Source: RefSeq, a predicted model, not a curated record